Molecule: ribosomal RNA, 377 nt
Filed under: Bacillus anthracis (anthrax bacterium)
Lineage: Bacteria; Bacillati; Bacillota; Bacilli; Caryophanales; Bacillaceae
Description: bacterial SSU rRNA
Rfam family: Bacterial small subunit ribosomal RNA
Source: RNAcentral
CGUGAGAUGUUGGGUUAAGUCCCGCAACGAGCGCAACCCUUGAUCUUAGUUGCCAUCAUUUAGUUGGGCACUCUAAGGUGACUGCCGGUGACAAACCGGAGGAAGGUGGGGAUGACGUCAAAUCAUCAUGCCCCUUAUGACCUGGGCUACACACGUGCUACAAUGGACGGUACAAAGAGCUGCAAGACCGCGAGGUGGAGCUAAUCUCAUAAAACCGUUCUCAGUUCGGAUUGUAGGCUGCAACUCGCCUACAUGAAGCUGGAAUCGCUAGUAAUCGCGGAUCAGCAUGCCGCGGUGAAUACGUUCCCGGGCCUUGUACACACCGCCCGUCACACCACGAGAGUUUGUAACACCCGAAGUCGGUGGGGUAACCUUUU